This 329-nucleotide ribosomal RNA is filed under the name uncultured bacterium. RNAcentral's name for it is "bacterial SSU rRNA". It matches the Rfam family "Bacterial small subunit ribosomal RNA", at positions 1018 to 1348 of the family's 1533-position model. The record is from RNAcentral.
CGAGGGGAGCCCUAGCACAGGUGCUGCAUGGCCGUCGUCAGCUCGUGCCGUGAGGUGUUGGGUUAAGUCCCGCAACGAGCGCAACCCCCGCCGUUAGUUGCCAGCGGUUCGGCCGGGCACUCUAACGGGACUGCCCGCGAAAGCGGGAGGAAGGAGGGGACGACGUCUGGUCAGCAUGGCCCUUACGGCCUGGGCGACACACGUGCUACAAUGCCCACUACAAAGCGAGGCCACCCGGCAACGGGGAGCUAAUCGCAAAAAGGUGGGCCCAGUUCGGAUUGGGGUCUGCAACCCGACCCCAUGAAGCCGGAAUCGCUAGUAAUCGCGGA